Molecule: ribosomal RNA, 253 nt
Filed under: uncultured bacterium
Lineage: Bacteria
Description: partial 16S ribosomal RNA
Rfam family: Bacterial small subunit ribosomal RNA
Source: RNAcentral
UACGUAGGGUGCGAGCGUUGUCCGGAAUUACUGGGCGUAAAGAGCUCGUAGGUGGUUUGUCGCGUUGUCCGUGAAAACUCACAGCUUAACUGUGGGCGUGCGGGCGAUACGGGCAGACUGGAGUACUGCAGGGGAGACUGGAAUUCCUGGUGGAGCGGUGGAAUGCGCAGAUAUCAGGAGGAACACCGGUGGCGAAGGCGGGUCUCUGGGCAGGAACUGACGCUGAGGAGCGAAAGCGUGGGGAGCGAACAGG